GGGCCCAAUACACUGUAAGCAAGUCCCCAUAGAAUAGCCGAGCAUUGGGCCCAACUCAAGGCGGUUCAAACUUGUCGUUAGGGUUUCUUUCUUGACCUAUAAAUAUUUCCAAGGCCCUCACAGCGUAAUCCUUCGCGUCACAAUUUGGUUUCUCGGCAGACCUAUCCUUUUUCUGAAACUCUAGGGUUUGGAAGCGAACUCUGUCUCUUCGUUACCAUGAGGGCUAAGUGGAAGAAGAAGCGUAUGAGGAGAUUGAAGAGGAAGCGCCGAAAGAUGAGACAGAGAUCCAAGUAGAUUUCUUAAUAAAGAAGUGAUGUUUUCCCCUUUUUGUCGUUAAAUUUCGGAUGUUUUGCAAUGUUUGUUUUUAAUUAGUACUGAUCAAAGAGUAAUAGUAGUAUGUUUAUUUGGACACAUUUUGUUAUAUUCAGUGAGUUUAUCUAUCUUAAUGUGAGUUAUUGAUAGUUUUAAACCA
Humulus lupulus (European hop) is the source of this 472-nucleotide long non-coding RNA. RefSeq lists it as uncharacterized. Lineage: Eukaryota; Viridiplantae; Streptophyta; Magnoliopsida; Rosales; Cannabaceae. The record is from RefSeq and is a predicted model, not a curated record. The transcript is spliced from 2 exons.